CCUACGGGCGGCAGCAGAGGGGAAUAUUGGACAAUGGGCGAAAGCCUGAUCCAGCCAUGCCGCGUGUGUGAAGAAGGCCUUCGGGUUGUAAAGCACUUUCAGUGGGGAAGAAAGCCUUGGGGCUAAUACCCUCGAGGAAGGACAUCACCCACAGAAGAAGCACCGACUAACUCCGUGCCAGCAGCCGCGGUAAUACGGAGGGUGCGAGCGUUAAUCGGAAUUACUGGGCGUAAAGCGCGCGUAGGCGGUCUGAUAAGCCGGUUGUGAAAGCCCCGGGCUCAACCUGGGAACGGCAUCCGGAACUGUCAGGCUAGAGUGCAGGAGAGGAAGGUAGAAUUCCCGGUGUAGCGGUGAAAUGCGUAGAGAUCGGGAGGAAUACCAGUGGCGAAGGCGGCCUUCUGGACUGACACUGACGCUGAGGUGCGAAAGCGUGGGUAGCAAACAGGAUUAGAUACCCCUGUAGUC
This 465-nucleotide ribosomal RNA is filed under the name Vreelandella stevensii. RNAcentral describes it as "partial 16S ribosomal RNA". It matches the Rfam family "Bacterial small subunit ribosomal RNA", at positions 338 to 795 of the family's 1533-position model. Lineage: Bacteria; Pseudomonadati; Pseudomonadota; Gammaproteobacteria; Oceanospirillales; Halomonadaceae. The record is from RNAcentral.